Molecule: ribosomal RNA, 333 nt
Filed under: Triticum aestivum (bread wheat)
Lineage: Eukaryota; Viridiplantae; Streptophyta; Magnoliopsida; Poales; Poaceae
Description: partial small subunit ribosomal RNA
Source: RNAcentral
AUGAUCCCUAUAGGGCACGGUCAGCGAGAGUUAAUUAUUGGGGACAGGCAGGCUGACACAACAGCAGUAGCCACAGAUACAAUUCUCAAUCAAAAAGGGCAAGGUGUAAUAUGUGUUUAUGUAGCUCUCGGUCAAAGAGCAUCCUCCGUUGCUCAAGUAGUAACUACUUUCCAUGAGGAGUGGGCCAUGGAAUACACUAUUGUAGUAGCUGAAAUGGCGAAUUCACCUGCUACAUUACAAUACCUCGCUCCUUAUACGGGAGCAUCCCUGGCUGAGUAUUUUAUGUACCGCGAACGACAUACUUUAAUAAUUUAUGAUGAUCUCUCCAAAUAG